AAGUCUGGGACAUCAACACGUUGACGUUUCAUUCCAGCCGUAGUGGAAGUUCCUCGCCCAUGGUGACAUGCAAAACAUUUGUAAUAGUUUAAGGUCGACUGCAGAAAUGUUCUGCCUCUACGCUACUCACUGGACUUGUGAGAUAUAUUUUGUGUCGAGCAGCCAGAUUUGGGAAUGUCAUUAGCUAUAAGAAAGGCUAAAACCUAUCCGGUGGAAAGCUCAUCCAUCUCCAGACCUCCGUACAUUUUGCGACAUGAGAAUAUUGCGAAACUCGAGCUUUCAUUGUUUGUUUACAGUUUGAAGAACAUAGUGCAGUGUGUUACUCCUUCUGCAGGCAGCCAUAAGUGUGUGUGUGUGUGUGUGUUUUAGAGGGGACUAUCGAUUCAAAUCUUUCAUUCAAAAACACCAGAAACUGCCGUUAAGACAUUUGUUGAACACAUCUUUCAAACUGAUUAUACUAGCUAACACUGCUGACUCCACACUUUAUUUUUUGCUAGACUUUAAAAUACCUUUAAAAUUAAACAAAGGUCCACAAGUAUCACUUGAAGGACCAUUUCCAUAUCUUACAGGUUACUUUUCUGACAACUGUACCUUUGGUACAGACAUGAUACCUCUUCUCUGUGUUUAGAAGAAAGGCAAUCAAUCUCAACUGUCUUUUUCUGUGGAAUGCAUGAAUGUAACAGAUCAGUGGGUGCAUCAGUGUUACUUUAUAUAAUGUAGCGAGUGUGCUCAGAAAUACUGGUGGGGAUGUGAGGUUCAAGUGUGCCACCAACAGAUUCAGCGGCAGGGCUGGUGGCUGCCCCCGCUCAUCCUGUAACUAGACAUGCAAAUAGUAGCCUUGUUAGAAUGGAUAUUUUACCCAAAUGAGGGAGAACACAACACUCACAUCUUUCACCUCUGGAAAAGGUCAUUGACUCCAUACUCAAAGACGUAGCCUUUCAUCCUCUUGUUUGAAAUGGUAUUCUUUCACUUGUUAUGCUUUUGUCAGAUUGUGUGAUUUUCAGCUAAGGGAGAAGUGAUGACAUUGAUGACCUCUAAUAAAGAUAUUCAUUUUUGAGAUGACCAAUCAAGACUUCAAGCCAUAAAAGACUAAUGAUCUGGCCACUUAUGACAAGGCUGUUACUGAUGAGCACUGAUGAAGAAAUCAAUAGCUGUUUUUGCAGGGUAACUGGGAGGACUUUGAUGAUAAACAUUUAUUUUAUGCUGGGAGAACUCCUUAUUCAGCCGGGUCUUUAGUGUAUCUUCUCUGUGCCACCAACCGUGUAGCCUAAAUAGGCUACUAGUUAAACGGUACUGGAACGACACCAGGGAUGGCCAACAGACCUCUGUUGAGUCUUCUUUAGUGCAGGAACUUUUUUCUCACAGAUUGGAGCGAAACACCAGUAAAAGUCCUUAUAUCUGCAAACAAAACGGAAAAGUUCUUAAGGUCCUCACGGACGACUUGUGAAAUACAAUUGCAAACGCAUGCGCAUCAUGCAAUCCUGUAUGAACACUACUCAGAGCACCACGGCCGUUUCUUCAGGCCAGCGGCUGCGCACUGUUCACAAGUUAAUGUCGCAUUUUUAACCAAUAGCCCACAAGUAAUGAGACAAUGUGGACCGGAAUAGGUAAAAAUGCACUUGACAAAGUGACCGUAGCUAGGUUUCUGACAUCAUAUAAGAACAUAUGGUCUAAAGACACAUUUAACAAUCCAGUUAUAGACAGAUAAAAGUUUAACACAAAACGAGGCUUACCCAGAAUAUAAUGCGUUUCUUGCGGUACAAGACCCGGACACACAAAUACAUUCCCUGCAGGCUACUUUGCUCGUUCCUAGCAGCAGCCUGGAAUUGUCAUUUUCAAAAUAAAAGCACAUACAAUGGAAGAAUAGAAAUCUAGUCCAGCUGCUAUAAC
Clupea harengus (Atlantic herring) is the source of this 1890-nucleotide long non-coding RNA. Lineage: Eukaryota; Metazoa; Chordata; Actinopteri; Clupeiformes; Clupeidae. The record is from Ensembl.